CAAUGAUUUUUACUGAAUCGGCAAACAUUCGUCGCAUUAGUUGUUUGAUAAAAUUAGCAAUUUAAGCUGAUACAAAUGUUAAAGUUACUUUUUCGACUUGAAAAAAAAAAUUAAGUGCUGGUUCUUAACAAUAUUCAAUGAUCUAAAAAUAAAAUUUAAGUGAAGGAAUAGAAUGGUUUAUGUUCAGGUUUUUCUACUAUCAAUUAUAACCUCCUGUUUUAUAACAAGGCUGAUAUAAUAUACAGGGUGUUCAGUAAAUAAGGAAACGAAUUUCUAUUGUAAUCAUUGUUUGUAACAAUUUAACUGUUUCCUAACUUACUGAACACUCUGUAUAGUAUUUUUUAAAUAACCUUUGAUUCAAUGGAUUACGAUACUCUUAUCCUUAUACUCAGCGAGUCUGAAUUAAGUGACUUUUAAUGUCCUGGUUUAGAUUUUAUCUUAAAAGCAGAUAUCAUUGGGACAAGAUACAUGAUCAAAUUUAGAAUAUAGCUGAAUAGAUUCGGAUGCUGAAAUUUUAAGUGAUUCUUUACAAUUUGAAAUAAUAGAAUGUAACUUUUUGUAUUUGACAAUUUAAGAAAUAAAUAAAAUGAAAAAUAUCAAAAAUAAUCGAAAGAAAUACAAUAUUUAUUAUUAUAUAACAUAAUUAUUAUUUUAUGAAA
Daktulosphaira vitifoliae (grape phylloxera) is the source of this 659-nucleotide long non-coding RNA. RefSeq lists it as uncharacterized. Lineage: Eukaryota; Metazoa; Arthropoda; Insecta; Hemiptera; Phylloxeridae. The record is from RefSeq and is a predicted model, not a curated record. The transcript has 3 exons.